This 563-nucleotide ribosomal RNA is filed under the name uncultured Weissella sp. RNAcentral describes it as "bacterial SSU rRNA". It matches the Rfam family "Bacterial small subunit ribosomal RNA", at positions 8 to 525 of the family's 1533-position model. Lineage: Bacteria; Bacillati; Bacillota; Bacilli; Lactobacillales; Lactobacillaceae. The record is from RNAcentral.
AGAGUUUGAUCCUGGCUCAGGAUGAACGCUGGCGGCGUGCCUAGUACAUGCAAGUCGAACGCUUUGUGGUUCAACUGAUUUGAAGAGCUUGCUCAGAUAUGACGAUGGACAUUGCAAAGAGUGGCGAACGGGUGAGUAACACGUGGGAAACCUACCUCUUAGCAGGGGAUAACAUUUGGAAACAGAUGCUAAUACCGUAUAACAAUGACAACCGCAUGGUUGUUAUUUAAAAGAUGGUUCUGCUAUCACUAAGAGAUGGUCCCGCGGUGCAUUAGCUAGUUGGUAAGGUAAUGGCUUACCAAGGCGAUGAUGCAUAGCCGAGUUGAGAGACUAAUCGGCCACAAUGGGACUGAGACACGGCCCAUACUCCUACGGGAGGCAGCAGUAGGGAAUCUUCCACAAUGGGCGAAAGCCUGAUGGAGCAACGCCGCGUGUGUGAUGAAGGGUUUCGGCUCGUAAAACACUGUUAUAAGAGAAGAAUGACAUUGAGAGUAACUGUUCAAUGUGUGACGGUAUCUUACCAGAAAGGAACGGCUAAAUACGUGCCAGCAGCCGCGGUAAUA